GCCAACGUAGCUCAGUGGUAGAGCAGCUGUUUCGUAAACAGCAGGUCGACGGUUCAAUCCCGUCCGUUGGCUCCA
This 75-nucleotide transfer RNA is filed under the name SAR202 cluster bacterium. RNAcentral describes it as "tRNA-Thr". It matches the Rfam family "tRNA". Rfam says of the family: Transfer RNA (tRNA) molecules are approximately 80 nucleotides in length. Their secondary structure includes four short double-helical elements and three loops (D, anti-codon, and T loops). The record is from RNAcentral. Lineage: Bacteria; Bacillati; Chloroflexota; Dehalococcoidia.